RNAcentral lists this ribosomal RNA (1575 nucleotides) under Eulemur mongoz (mongoose lemur). RNAcentral's name for it is "16S ribosomal RNA". It matches the Rfam family "Bacterial large subunit ribosomal RNA", at positions 378 to 2925 of the family's 2925-position model. Lineage: Eukaryota; Metazoa; Chordata; Mammalia; Primates; Lemuridae. The record is from RNAcentral.
AACUAAAGCUAGCCCAACUCUACCUAAAAAUCAAUAAAUCUAUUAAACUUUAAAUUAAACCAUUCACCACUAAGCAAAAGUAUAGGAGAUAGAAAUUUCACUCGGCGCUAUAGACAAAGUACCGCAAGGGAAAGAUGAAAGAACAAUUAAAAGUACAUAAAAGCAAAGCUCACUACUUGUACCUUUUGCAUAAUGACUUAACUAGAACAACUUGACAAAAAGAAUUUUAGUCAACAAACCCGAAACCAGACGAGCUACUCAUAAAUAGCUACAUAAGAGCACACUCAUCUAUGUGGCAAAAUAGUGAGAAAAUCUAUGAGUAGAGGUGAAAAGCCUAUCGAGCCUGGUGAUAGCUGGUUGUUCGGGAAAGAAUUUUAGUUCAACUUUAAAUUUACCCUAAGUACUCAAAACCUAAUGUAAAUUUAAAAUUUAAUCUAAAGGGGGACAGCCCUUUAGAACAGGCUACAACCUUUAGUAGAGAGUAAAAAAAUCUUAUUCCAUAGUUGGCCUAAAAGCAGCUAUCAAUUAAGAAAGCGUUCAAGCUCAACACACCAAACCAAACCGAUCCCAAACCUCUAUCCUAACCUCCUACCAACUAACCGAACCAAUCUAUCACUAAAUAGAAGCAUUACUGUUAAUAUAAGUAACAAGAAUUUAAUAUUCUCCUCGCAUAAGCCUAUAUCAGAUCGGAUACUCACUGAUAGUUAAACAAAAAAUAAAUCAAACACAACUUAAAUAAUACUUAUCCAAAUAACUGUUAAUCCAACACAGGUGUGCACUAAGGAAAGAUUAAAAGGAGCAAAAGGAACUCGGCAAAAACUAACCCCGCCUGUUUACCAAAAACAUCACCUCUAGCAUAACUAGUAUUAGAGGCACUGCCUGCCCAGUGACACAUGUUCAACGGCCGCGGUAUCCUGACCGUGCAAAGGUAGCAUAAUCAUUUGUUCUUUAAUUUAGGACUUGAAUGAAGGGCCACACGAGGGUUAAACUGUCUCAAGCUCCCAAUCAGUGAAAUUGACCUUCCCGUGAAGAGGCGGGAAUGCAAUAAUAAGACGAGAAGACCCUAUGGAGCUUAAAUUAAUUAACCCAGAUACAUUCACUCAAAAACCAAAACGGAUAUAAUAUUUAUUGAUUUUUGGGUUAAAAAUUUCGGUUGGGGUGACCUCGGAGCAUAACUCAACCUCCGAACAAUUUCAGCCUAGACCUCACUAGUCAAAGCAACUCCCGUACUAAAUUGAUCCAAACUAAUUUGAUCAAUGGAACAAGUUACCCUAGGGAUAACAGCGCAAUCCUAUUAUAGAGUUCAUAUCGACAAUAGGGUUUACGACCUCGAUGUUGGAUCAGGACACCCCAAUGGUGUAACCGCUAUUAAAGGUCCGUUUGUUCAACGGUUAAAGUCCUACGUGAUCUGAGUUCAGACCGGAGCAAUCCAGGUCGGUUUCUAUCUAUUUAAUAUUUCUCCCAGUACGAAAGGACAAGAGAAAUAGAGCCAACUCAAUAGAGAGCUCUCAAUUUUAUAGAUGCUAUAAACUUAACCUAGCACAUUACUUAAUACCUCACCCAAGACCAGGGUUC